Molecule: ribosomal RNA, 253 nt
Filed under: uncultured bacterium
Lineage: Bacteria
Description: partial 16S ribosomal RNA
Rfam family: Bacterial small subunit ribosomal RNA
Source: RNAcentral
UACGUAGGGUGCAAGCGUUAAUCGGAAUUACUGGGCGUAAAGCGUGCGCAGGCGGCUAUGCAAGUCAGAUGUGAAAUCCCCGGGCUCAACCUGGGAACUGCAUUUGUGACUGCAUGGCUGGAGUACGGCAGAGGGGGAUGGAAUUCCGCGUGUAGCAGUGAAAUGCGUAGAUAUGCGGAGGAACACCGAUGGCGAAGGCAAUCCCCUGGGCCUGUACUGACGCUCAUGCGCGAAAGCGUGGGGAGCAAACAGG